Molecule: ribosomal RNA, 301 nt
Filed under: uncultured bacterium
Lineage: Bacteria
Description: partial 16S ribosomal RNA
Rfam family: Bacterial small subunit ribosomal RNA
Source: RNAcentral
CAGUCGCCACGGUAAUACGUAGGUCCCGAGCGUUGUCCGGAUUUAUUGGGCGUAAAGCGAGCGCAGGCGGUUAGAUAAGUCUGAAGUUAAAGGCUGUGGCUUAACCAUAGUACGCUUUGGAAACUGUUUAACUUGAGUGCAAGAGGGGAGAGUGGAAUUCCAUGUGUAGCGGUGAAAUGCGUAGAUAUAUGGAGGAACACCGGUGGCGAAAGCGGCUCUCUGGCUUGUAACUGACGCUGAGGCUCGAAAGCAUGGGGAGCAAACAGGAUUAGAUACCCCCGUAGUCCCUGUCUCUUAUACA